UGGCUCAGAUGGUAAAGCGUCUGCCUACAAUGCUGGAGACCCAGGUUCAAUCCCUGG
Non-coding RNA from Bos taurus (domestic cattle), 57 nucleotides. The record is from Rfam. NCBI's taxonomy places the organism in Eukaryota, Metazoa, Chordata, Mammalia, Artiodactyla, Bovidae.